AGUAGUUCCAAGGUGUUGCAACUGAUAUUGUGAAAUAAUUGUGUAACCUAAUGAAUAUGCAAUAUACACGUUGUAACUUUAAUGAAUAUGUAUGUAACCAAAUUGUAUAAAAUGGUGAAGUUUGAAUCAGUGGUCGGAGCCAGCUUUGGGUGCGAGCCCCUGGUUUCCCCAGCGCUGAAAUAAAGCACCACAUAUAACUACGCCCGUGGUUAUGUGUCCUGAAUGCUAACAUUUUUGGCGACCCAGAUGGGACCUCGCGAGCAUUGCUGAGGCGGAUCGCGUCUUGAUCCUGCUCCAGCUAGCACCGAGGUAUUCUUGGGGAGCGCAUCGGACGCGACCGACCCUCCGCUGCUCUCGACGGACCUCUGACUGGUAAGAAGGUGCUUUAUCUGGAUUGUUGGGUACCCGCCUGGUCUGGUUCUGGUCUGGUAGCCUGCUGGUCAGGCAUCUGGUAGCCUGCCGGUCAGACGCGGCGAAAGCCACGCUCGGUUGGGCAGGGAGCUCCCGUGGUAUUGCCUAGGCAGCCGUCCGUCAGACAGAGGGAAACCUCUGCAGGCUCGGCAUCUGGUCUGGUUAUUUGUGCGCACCUGGUCUGGUUAUUUGUGCUACUCAGCACCUGGUCUGUAGUUCUAGUGAUUUAAUCUGUAUUUACUGUUGAAACCGGUGAUUUGAUCCUGUUUACUGUUGUUCUGGUAAAGUUACCUGUGUUAUCUUUCUGUGUUAGUUAUCUGUAUCCUUCUCUGUUGAUAUGUCCAAUUUAAACCUAUCGCCGUCAAAUUGCUUUCUGAAACAUUAGAAGAAGGCUGGGUUUGGACAGUUUAUGCAUAAAAGAAGUGUGAUUGUGAUCUGUUUGCAUAUUUGAACUCGGUAUUCGGUUUGCAUGUCUGAGCUCAGUAUUUUAGUUUGUAUGUUUAUAUUUGGUACCAAAAGAAUUUGUUUGGGGAAAUAAUUACAAAAUAAGAACCGUUUCCGUUACUAAAGUGCCACCUUGCUCCCCCUUCAGAUGCAUCUGUACACAUGAAAGUAAAUUGAGUUAGCUGUAUGGCAGUUAGUGUUGUUUUGUGGAUAGACUGAUUUGGAUUUGGUUCUAAAAUUAAUGUCAGGGAUUGAUGCUUAGUAUGCUGUUUAUUGACAUCUGUAAGAAGUUACAAAAGGUAGGAGCUGAGGGAUUGUUCAGCUAAUUGGAAUUACAUAUAAAGUUUAUAAUCACAGGAAUUAAAUGAAGAGAGAAAAAAGGCAAAAGGAGCCCAAACCUGUGCCCGGCAGCUUCUCCUUGAUAAGCUGCAGAGAAAAAAAAAAAAAGGUGAAAAGCUGACUGUCUGCUAAAGCGGUGGGAAAGGGGUGGGGAGCGGCGGCUGCUAGAGCUGGAGCUGCAGCUCCUCUCCUCCGGGCUCGCCGCCCGCGGGGAAUCAUCAAACGUAAUAGCACCCCUGCGGCAGGCAGUAGGUGUGGGGGGGAACCAGUCUAUGUAAAAGUUCCGUUUUCGCCGGGGGAUUUAGUAAUCUGGAAGCAAUCGGCUGGUCCUUAUCGGGAAAAUCCAGAUAAGGUUGCAAUAAUUAAGAUGAUAAUUAAAAUGCAGAAUCCUGAUUGGGAUGAUUUACAAGUGAUUUUGGAUACAUUAAUGGACUCUACAGAAAAUAUAUGGUUAUACAGGUUGCGAGGGAUAAAGUGAGAGAAGAUAUUCGGAAUGGGAAAGUAGAGGCUAACGUUGACGAGAACUUUCCAAAAGAAGAUCCCCGAUAAUACAGGAGAUACAGACAAUACAGGAGGCGGGUUAAGCCGUCUCCGGAGGUAUCAGGAUUGGUUAUUGAUUGGCGUUCAAACUGCUAUGCCGAAUUGGUCAAAAUUGUAUGAUGUGAUGCAGGAAAACAAUGAGUCUCCCUCGGCCUUUUUAGAAAGAUUAAAAGAAGCUGCCAAAACCGGGAUGUAAAAUUUUUAGUAGACACAGGGGCUAUUUAGUCUCUACUGAAUUCCUUACAGGGGGCGGUAGGUCACAGAGCUACAACAAUUGUUGGUGCCACAGGGAAGGAGGAAGUACGGCCAUUCCUGCAACCUUUGGAUUUGUGUUUUGGAGAAAAGGAACUAACCCACAAGUUCUUAUAUGUUUCAGAUUGUCCAGUUUCUCUUUUAGGACGAGAUUUGCUGACUAAAUUAGAUGCCACAAUAACGUUUGAGGAUGGAAAUUUGGUAAUGAAAGUUCCGGAGUCAAAGGUAGGACAAAUUUUACUAUUAAAGGAAAAUCCAAUUGUAAAAAUACCACAGGCAAUAGAAGAUGCAGUGAUUCCCACGGUAUGGGAAACUGACAUACCUGGGAAAUCAAAGGCAGCUAAACCUGUGAAAGUAGAGCUGAAGGAAGGUGCUGAACUGGUACGAUUAAGACAGUACCCAUUGAAAUUGGAAGCCAGAUUAGGAAUAGUGUCUUUAAUUGAGAAAUUUUUGAAAUAUGGAAUUUUAGAAGAAUGUGAAUCAGAAUAUAAUACUCCAAUUUUUCCAGUAAAGAAACCUGAUGGUAGCUAUCGACUAGUCCAAGACUUACGAGCAAUAAACCAGAUCACUAAGGACAUACAUCCAGUAGUUGCAAAUCCGUAUGCCUUGUUAACAUCUGUGAAAGAGAAAUAUAAAUGGUUUACAGUACUUGAUUUAAAAGAUGCCUUCUUCUGCAUACCCCUUGACCAGGAAAGCAAAAAGCUAUUCGCUUUCGAAUGGGAGAAUCCACACAACGGGAGAAAGGCCCAAUUAACCUGGACACGCCUUCCACAAUGAUUUAAGAAUAGUCCGACUAUCUUCGGAAAUCAACUAGCCAAAGAACUUGAGGAAUGGACUACGAGAGGCUAUAUCGGAAUUCCUCGACAAUGGUAUUUGUUGCUGCAAUAUGUGGAUGAUAUUUUGAUUGCUGCUGAGACCCAAGAACUUUGCAUUCAGGUAACAAUUGAAAUAUUGAAUCAAUUGGGAAUGAAUGGAUAUAAAGUGUCAAAAAAUAAAGCUCAGAUUGCAUCCACAACUGUGAUCUAUCUAGGAUGCGAGCUUUCUCAAGGACAGCGAAGACUAGGUAUAAACCGUGUACAUGCUAUCUGUGCGAUUUCAGAACCGCAUAACUUACAUGAAUUAAGAUCUUUUCUAGGAAUGGCAGGAUGGUGCAGGCUCUGGAUCAUGGACUAUGGGCUCAUUGCCAAACCUUUAUACGAGGCACAGAAGAAUAAGACCUUAGUGUGGGAAAAACCACAACAGGAAGCUUUUCAAAAGUUGAAACAGGCUUUAAUGCAAGCGCCUGCUUUGGGCCUACCUGAUCUGAGUAAAGACUUUCAGUUAUUCGUACAUGAACGACAGAGACUUGCCCUAGGGGUAUUAACCCAACGGCUGGGAUCUUGGAAAAGGCCCGUAGGUUAUUUCUCUAAACAACUUGACCCGGUAAGUGCUGGAUGGCCGACGUGCUUGCGGGCAGUGGCUGCUACCGCGAUAUUAGUUCAGGAAGUCCGGAAACUGACUAUGGGAAAAAAGAUCGAAGUGUUUGUAUCCCAUAUGGUGACUACUGUAUUGGAACAAAAGGGGGGCCAUUGGCUUUCCCCAAGUAGGAUGAUGAAAUAUCAGGCAAUUUUAACAGAGCAGGAUGAUGUUAUCCUAAAAACAACUAACCUAAUGAAUCCAGCUGUGUUUUUAAGCGCAGAGACUGAAGAAGAAAAUCUGGAACAUGAUUGUGUGGAGGUCAUUGAAUAUACCCACGCAAGUCGACCUGACCUGAAAGAUACCCCAUUGGAGGAGACGGAUUGGGAGCUUUUUACUGAUGGCAGUAGUUUUGUGGAAAGCGGAGUGCGGUAUGCAGGAUACGCGAUUACUACUGCCAAAACAGUAAUUGAAGCUAAAUCCCUACCACCAAAUACAUCAGCACAGAAAGCUGAGUUGAUAGCCCUAACUAGGUCACUGGAGCUCAGUGAGGACAAAAGGGUCAAUAUUUGGACUGACUCAAAAUAUGCAUUCGGGGUUGUUCAUGUACAUGGAGCUCUUUGGAAAGAGUGUGGACUACUCUCCUCCCAAGGAACAAAUAUCAAGUACCAAAAAGAAUUAUUGAACUUGAUUAAUGCCAUUCAAAAGCCAUCACUAGUUGCCAUCAUGCACUGUAAAGCUCAUCAGAGUGGGACAUCGAAAAUUAUUGAAGGAAAUCGACUUGCUGAUCAGACAGCCCGAUCAGUGGCACGACAAGUCUGGAUGAUGGUGGGUCUCGUCUCCCAGAAGGUAAGAGCAAUUGAUUUAUUACCUACACCUUCAGAGGCACCUGAAUAUUCUACAGAAGAUGAGAAAUUGGCAAGACUAGUAAAAGCUGUCUAGGAUAAUUCUGCAUGGUAUGUAACCGCCAAUGGACAAAUUGUGGUGCCUAUCACAAUUACGAGAGGGAUACUUCAGGCAGAGCACCAGAAGUGUCAUUGGGGUGCAGAAGCAUUGGUAACUUAUCUAAGAAAACAAAUUAUCUCGGUCCAGAUGUUAACAAUGGCAAAAUCCAUCACAGCUAAGUGUGAAAUUUGCUUGAGAAAUAAUCCUUUAGUUAAAAGGAAAGCAGAUAUGGGAAAAAUUAGGACAGGUGUACAACCAGGAGAUUGUUGGCAAAUAGAUUAUGUGGAACUCCCCAAAACCCGAGGAUUCAGAUAUCUAUUAGUUGGGGUAUGCACUUUUUCAGGAUGGCCAGAAGCCUUCCCUUGUCGCACCAACCAGGCACAAGAAACUGUAAAAUGGUUAUUGAAGGAAAUAAUUCCUAGAUUUGGAGUACCAUUGGGAAUAUCAUGUGAUAGGGGACCACAUUUUGUUGCUCAAGUGGUAAAGGAAGUCAGUAGUUGUUUGGGAAUUAAAUGGGAAUUACAUACCCCGUGGAGACCCCAGUCCAGUGGCCAGGUGGAGAAAAUGAAUCAGACGCUAAAACAAAAGCUUAGCAAAAUUUGUCAGGAAGCAAAAAUUCAAUGGCCCCAGGCCUUACCAAUAGCGUUAUUGCGAAUUAGGAUUAAACCCAGGAGGGGAAUGUCAGUAAGCCCAUAUGAGAUUCUGUAUGGCAAACCAUAUGAAGCACCUAAUCCGAAUCCAAGUGUACAUGUAAAAGGUAAUCAGGAUGUGUACAAUUAUGUGUUGUCUCUCGGCAGGACAUUGAAUCGACUCAGAUCCGUAUUAGUGUGGAAUUGCCCACUAGCACUUGAGAAUCCAGUACAUGAUAUAGAACCUGGAGACACGGUGUAUAUAAAGACUUGGAGAGAAGAUCCUUUAAAAGAACGUUGGGACGGACCUUAUCAAGUACUUUUAACUACAUUUACCGCAAUCAAGGUUGCCGAAAUAGAUUCCUGGAUACAUUACACCCGAGUGAAAAAAGUCCCAAAACGGUGGCAAUCACAAUUAGUGGGUCCAACCACACUUAAAAUCACAACGCAGGAUGUCUAACUUUUAUCACCGCUUUGUGCUUAUAGUAGUUUAUGUACCCAGACUGUAUGCCACACUGAUUUGCAAAGUCACUGGAGAACAAUUAUGCAAAACACGAAGGGCUAUAGGAGAUAGUGAUGAUGCUCAAAUGCCGCAAGUAGUGCAGAGUGUACAGAAUCAGGCAGAGAAUCUGAUGAUAGGAUUAAUUCGAGAUUUUGCACAAACCCAAAAUGCCAGUAGCAUCACUGCUUGCCUUCCCAUUCCAAAAUCGGCCGAAGACCCAAUACAAUGGGGAAUAAUAUCUACAACCUUACCGAGAAUGAAUAAAACUGGUAAGAUAGUGUGUGAAUCCCGUACUAGGCUGGAGCAAGUGCCAACUGAAAAAUGGGUAAAAACAGGACCCGAAACAGUGGAAUUUAGAGGAAAGGUAAUUCUCAAAGAAAGUUGGACCAAAAAGACAGUAUAUGAAGAGGUUAAUCGGACCUAUUGGGAAUGUAAAGAUCAGGAUAAUCAGAACAUAACUGAAUCAUAGUACAGCAAUAUCAAUAUAGUGAAGCAUUUCCAUGGUGUAUACGAUGGACCAAUGUAACGAGAGGAGUAACAGUACCAUGGUGGAAUUGCUCUCGAGUGAUGACCUGCCAGACAGAUGUAAGAGAAAUACCUCUGUCCAUCAUUAAAGUUGCAGUAAUCACAGGUUGCAUUUUUCAGAAACAAUUGGAUCCAAAGGAAGCAAUCAAAAUAGGCAUUGAUGGAGAUAAGAUAGAUUGUAGAGGAACUAUAGGUAGUGUGGGACAUUUGGUUUGGGCCUUAAGUGAUGGAACCUGGACAACACAUUUACCGAUAGCAGGACCAGUAAGGGAGGUUACUUUGGGGUUACCAACCCUAUGUCCCAUUUGGAAGAGGUCACCCCUGAAGAAUAGGCAAGAACUCCUACAAGUUAGGCACAAGCAAGAGAUAGAUGAAGAUGAUGUGUGGCACGAGACAUCAGGUAGUGUUAAAUUCGGCUGGGCAUUAGAAUCUUUCUUCGCACCAAUUGCAGCUUAUAGAAACAGAGAAAUGAUUGACAGAUUAAUUGGACAGAUGGAUCGAUUGGCAAGGAUAACCAAAAAGGGUUUUCGAGAUUUCAAUAUACAAUUGCAAGCUACGACCAAAAUGACUUUGCAGAACAGAAUGGCACUUGAUAUAAUGUUGCUAAAAGAAAAUGGGCUUUGUGGGUAUUUAAAGGAUAGGGUUGAUCACUGCUGCAUUCAUAUCCCAAACAUAACCUCUGAAGUGGAGAAAGAUAUUUCCCAAUUAACCCAAACAGAAAAGGAUCUGCAAGCGGAAAAACAAGAUGUAGAGCAGAGCUGGAUUGGGGCCUUGCUAGGCAAAUUGAACCUGAACCUGGGAGGAUGGGUACAUUCAUUGUUGGAAAGUUUAUUUUUGCUUGCUAUUAUAGUUGCUCUUUUCUUUUCGCUGUAUGCUUGUAUUAAGCAUCAGAUAAGUCAAUCAAACGCCAGGAACGACCGCAUCUUUACUGUUCUUAGCAGACCUACUUUUGACAACCCUCCAGCUUAUAAGGAAAACAUAAAGUAGUGAAAAUGCAUUGUCUAGGAAUAGAAAAGCAUUUUCAAAGGGGGGAAAUGUUAUAGUUGAAUUGAAUUUUGUGGGCUGGGCUGUGUUUCUGAUUCUGUAGACCAUAUCCAGGAUUCCUACCUUAUCGUAAAAGCUAUGCAAGUUGUAUACGAGCUCAUAUUUUAGAGAACUGAAAAUUAGUUCUGUUAGUUCUCAGUAAGCUCUUAUCUUAUCUUGAAAGUGCUGAGAAGGUACAUUUGCUAUCAUCCAAGAAUUUGUAUAAUUUUAUACGAAGUGCGCAUUUGCAGUGACAAAAGAUGAAAAGUACACUAGUGAUGAAGACUACUUACUUCAUCCUGAAGACCCCCUGAACGACCACCAGAGGACACUGCGCACGCUUAGAGUAGUUCCAAGGUGUUGCAACUGAUAUUGUGAAAUAAUUGUGUAACCUAAUGAAUAUGCAAUAUACACGUUGUAACUUUAAUGAAUAUGUAUGUAACCAAAUUGUAUAAAAUGGUGAAGUUUGAAUCAGUGGUCGGAGCCAGCUUUGGGUGCGAGCCCCUGGUUUCCCCAGCGCUGAAAUAAAGCACCACAUAUAACUACGCCCGUGGUUAUGUGUCCUGAAUGCUAACAUUUUUGGCGACCCAGAUGGGACCUCGCGAGCAUUGCUGAGGCGGAUCGCGUCUUGAUCCUGCUCCAGCUAGCACCGAGGUAUUCUUGGGGAGCGCAUCGGACGCGACCGACCCUCCGCUGCUCUCGACGGACCUCUGACUGGUAAGAAGGUGCUUUAUCUGGAUUGUUGGGUACCCGCCUGGUCUGGUUCUGGUCUGGUAGCCUGCUGGUCAGGCAUCUGGUAGCCUGCCGGUCAGACGCGGCGAAAGCCACGCUCGGUUGGGCAGGGAGCUCCCGUGGUAUUGCCUAGGCAGCCGUCCGUCAGACAGAGGGAAACCUCUGCAGGCUCGGCAUCUGGUCUGGUUAUUUGUGCGCACCUGGUCUGGUUAUUUGUGCUACUCAGCACCUGGUCUGUAGUUCUAGUGAUUUAAUCUGUAUUUACUGUUGA
This is a long non-coding RNA of Columba livia (rock pigeon), 8008 nucleotides long. RefSeq lists it as uncharacterized. The transcript has 3 exons. Lineage: Eukaryota; Metazoa; Chordata; Aves; Columbiformes; Columbidae. The record is from RefSeq and is a predicted model, not a curated record.